RNAcentral lists this ribosomal RNA (427 nucleotides) under uncultured Desulfovibrio sp. RNAcentral's name for it is "bacterial SSU rRNA". It matches the Rfam family "Bacterial small subunit ribosomal RNA", at positions 355 to 774 of the family's 1533-position model. The record is from RNAcentral. Lineage: Bacteria; Pseudomonadati; Thermodesulfobacteriota; Desulfovibrionia; Desulfovibrionales; Desulfovibrionaceae.
UGGGGAAUAUUGCGCAAUGGGCGAAAGCCUGACGCAGCGACGCCGCGUGAGGGAUGAAGGUUUUCGGAUCGUAAACCUCUGUCAGAAGGGAAGAAACUGCGCUGUGCUAAUCAGCGGCGCACUGACGGUACCUUCAAAGGAAGCACCGGCUAACUCCGUGCCAGCAGCCGCGGUAAUACGGAGGGUGCAAGCGUUAAUCGGAAUUACUGGGCGUAAAGCGCACGUAGGCGGUUGCGUAAGUCAGGGGUGAAAUCCCACGGCUCAACCGUGGAACUGCCCUUGAUACUGCACGACUUGAAUCCGGGAGAGGGUGGCGGAAUUCCAGGUGUAGGAGUGAAAUCCGUAGAUAUCUGGAGGAACAUCAGCGGCGAAGGCGGCCACCUGGACCGGUAUUGACGCUGAGGUGCGAAAGCGUGGGGAGCAAACA